UCCCCUAGUAACUGCGAGUGAAGCGGGAAAAGCUCAAAUUUAAAAUCUGGUGGCCUUUGGUCAUCCGAGUUGUAAUUUAGAGAAGCGUCUUCCGCGCUGGACCGUGCACAAGUCUCCUGGAAUGGAGCGUCGUAGAGGGUGAGAAUCCCGUCUUUGGCACGGACUCCCAGUGCUUCUGUGAUGCGCUCUCGAAGAGUCGAGUUGUUUGGGAAUGCAGCUCAAAAUGGGUGGUGAACUCCAUCUAAAGCUAAAUAUUGGCGAGAGACCGAUAGCGAACAAGUACCGUGAGGGAAAGAUGAAAAGCACUUUGGAAAGAGAGUGAAACAGUACGUGAAAUUGUUGAAAGGGAAACGCUUGAAGUCAGUCGCGUCGUCCGAGACUCAGCCUCGCCUCGGCUUGGUGUACUUCUCGGCCGACGGGUCAGCAUCAAUUUUGCCCCUUGGAUAAUGGCGAGGGAAAUGUGACACCUUUGCGGGUGUGUUAUAGUCUCUAGUCGCAUGCAAGGGUCGGGAUUGAGGAACUCAGCACGCGCCUUCGGGCGUCGGGGUUCGCCCACGAUACGUGCUUAGGAUGUUGGCGUAAUGGCUUUAAACGACCCGUCUUGAAACACGGACCAAGGAGUCUAACAUGCCCGCGAGUGUUCGGGUGGAA
RNAcentral lists this ribosomal RNA (651 nucleotides) under Russula sp. Its description in RNAcentral is "partial large subunit ribosomal RNA". It matches the Rfam family "Eukaryotic large subunit ribosomal RNA", at positions 76 to 704 of the family's 3401-position model. The record is from RNAcentral. Lineage: Eukaryota; Fungi; Basidiomycota; Agaricomycetes; Russulales; Russulaceae.